Molecule: long non-coding RNA, 782 nt
Organism: Cucurbita moschata (crookneck pumpkin)
Lineage: Eukaryota; Viridiplantae; Streptophyta; Magnoliopsida; Cucurbitales; Cucurbitaceae
Exons: 3
Source: RefSeq, a predicted model, not a curated record
AUUUGUUAGAUUAUUGUCAUGUCUAAUCAUGGUUUACUUUAUGAACUGUUUGCUUUCUUGCUACUAUUUUGCGGUGCUUGUUACUUUCAUUGGCAGAGCCAAUUUAUCGAAAUUCUCAUAUUCCUUGUUUUACUGCUAUGAAAGUAUUGAAUAACUUUAUGAAAUUCUUUAUGCAACCCAACCGUGGAGACAAUGCUCUCAUCAUAUCAACAAUCUACUGUAGGGGACUAACUGUGUAGUUGAUUUUCAUCUUAUCAACAAUUUACUUUGAAUGUUGUCUAUAAGUCUGGAUUGAAGAUCUUUCUGGGCAGGAAACUCGUCGUAGCGACUCGACACGAUGUAACACAUCACCUCUUCAAAAGUGAGAACACAAAGAUGAGGUUCAUUGAUAAGGCUUGUCUGCUAAGGAAAGUGUCUUCCAGCUAAGUCCCCAAGGUCCGUGGUCGGUCAGUUUGGAAUGGUGAAGACUUAAAAGCGAUGAAAAUCAAGCUGAAUCUCUCCCUUUGAAUUCUGGGAAAUCCAUACCUUUCAAAAAAGUAUAUAUAUAUAUAUAUAUAUUUUUUUUUAUGUUCUUGGGUAGAAAUUUAAACGUACACAUAUAUCUUAAUCAGUUGAUCUGUGUUUGCCUUGACAAUUAGAAAUAUGUACAUGUUAGAUUGGGUCGGGUUAAAGGUACUUUAGAGUCAAUAUCUUUGGGUUGGUUGGUUCUUUGGUCCGACCCAUCCGAUUAAAGAUGACAACCUAGCCCACCCCUUGUAUCAUGAAAAUUUAGAGCUUUGGUU